Molecule: ribosomal RNA, 392 nt
Filed under: uncultured Bacteroidota bacterium
Lineage: Bacteria; Pseudomonadati; Bacteroidota
Description: bacterial SSU rRNA
Rfam family: Bacterial small subunit ribosomal RNA
Source: RNAcentral
CGGACGGGUGCGUAACGCGUAUGCAACUUACCUUAAGCAGGGGGAUAGGUCCCGGAAACGGGAAUUAAAACCGCAUGACACAUUAGAUUCGCAUGGGUUUAAUGUAAAAGUUGAGGUGGCUUAAGAUGGGCAUGCGUCUGAUUAGCUGGUUGGUAGGGUAACGGCCUACCAAGGCGACGAUCAGUAGGGGUUCUGAGAGGAUACACCCCCACACUGGUACUGAGACACGGACCUUACUCCUACGGGAGGCAGCAGUGAGGAAUAUUGGUCAAUGGGCGGAAGCCUGAACCAGCCAUUCCGCGUGAAGGAAGAAGGCCUUACGGGUUGUAAACUUCUAUACUGUAAGAAGAAUAACCGGGACGAGUUUCCGGGAUGACGGUAUUAUAGGAAUA